UUUCCGUAGGUGAACCUGCGGAAGGAUCAUUACCGUGUUCUGGGUCCCCUCGGGGGCCCGACACCCCACCCUUUGUAGUUACAUGACUAUCGUUGCUUCGGCGGGACGGCCCCCCUCACGGGGGUGCCGCCGGGCCCCUACCGCCCGGAGAGCUCCCGCCGGAGGACCACAAACUCUAGCCUUUUUGAACGAGAAGUCGGAGUGAGAAUUACAUAAUUCAAAACUUUCAACAACGGAUCUCUUGGUUCUGGCAUCGAUGAAGAACGCAGC
Molecule: unclassified non-coding RNA, 270 nt
Filed under: uncultured fungus
Lineage: Eukaryota; Fungi
Description: sequence contains ITS1, 5.8S rRNA gene
Rfam family: 5.8S ribosomal RNA (bases 222-270)
Source: RNAcentral